UUGACCCUUUCGACCUCAAAUC
Molecule: ribosomal RNA, 22 nt
Filed under: Hydnellum glaucopus
Lineage: Eukaryota; Fungi; Basidiomycota; Agaricomycetes; Thelephorales; Thelephoraceae
Description: partial 28S ribosomal RNA
Source: RNAcentral